Molecule: long non-coding RNA, 2114 nt
Organism: Vespa crabro (European hornet)
Lineage: Eukaryota; Metazoa; Arthropoda; Insecta; Hymenoptera; Vespidae
Exons: 5
Source: RefSeq, a predicted model, not a curated record
AUAGCGCUGUUCUUAUUAGACGUAUAAGGUUAAGUUACCUUAAUAUUAUAAUCAAUCUUCGUUUAAAAAAUAGAUUGAUAGAUACGUUUGAUCCUAUGGCUUGUUAUAGUGAUAUACUUUCGUUAUGUGUAAUAAUUAUGUUAAAUUAAUACCAAUAUUCAAAAAAUCAUUUGCAUAACCAUAUUCUCAAUAUAUAUAGAUAUAUCAUAAAAUAUUUUACUAUAAUGUCUUUAUUACGAAUUAUUCGAUAUAACGAAUUAUCCGUUAUUUUUCCGUUAACUGCAAGAGAAUUCCUUUUGAGUAAUUCGUCAAAAAGAAAGAGCAAUGUCGUCAUUCAAUUCAAGAGAGGCUUCAACUAUACAGUUAGUUCAUCUAUUAAACAAGAGUACAAGAAAGCAAAGAUUCUAUCAAACAUUUAUAAAGUUGGUUGAAGAACAUUAGCAACGGAUGCAACUAAACAUUAAAAAUAAAUAUGAAACAAAUUUCAAGCAAAUAAACAAAAUAAUGAAGUAACAAGAGGUACUGAUCAGUCGCAUUUUUCAUGGAAAGACUUUUUGGAGUAUUUAUAUCCAUAUAUUUGGUAUUUAUUGAUUUCUUUGUCAAGCGCCCUAAUGGUUACAAUGUUAAAUUCUUGGAUACCGCAAUCUUUUGGCAAUAUCAUAAAUAUUGUGACAAAAAUAGUCCAAGACAAAAAAAAUGAUUCUACAUUGAAUACUUUGGAAAUACUUCUUAGACCAACAUUUGUGCUGGCACAUAUAUAUGUUGCACAAGUAUGCACAUUUUAUGUAUUUUCAAAAAUUUCAAAUAUAUAUUCAAAAUAUGUACAUCGUAAGGCUAAAGAAGUUCUACACAAAUUAUUGGUUGUGUUAUUUCUGUAAUAAUGUUAUAGCCUCUGCUCAGAGUAUCAAUAUUAUUAUGUAUGCCAAUAGUUAUAUUUAUUGGUAAUCUAUUGGGAAAAAAACUUGCAUAAGUUUUCUACAAAAACUCAAAAUCAAAUAGUGGAAGCUGCUGUCUGUGAAGAAGUUAUCCAAAAUAUACCAACGGUAAAAACGUUUGUAGCAGGAAAUCAAGAAACAGAAGUAUUUUCUAAAGAAGUUGAACGUGCAACUGAGUUAUAUGAAAAUUUAGAAUUUGGUAUUGGUUUGUUUUUAGCAGGAACAGAUUUAUUUUGAAAUAGUAUUUUACUUCGUUCAUUGUACUUUAGUGAUCAUUUAAUAUCAAUUGGACAAUUAACAUUUGGCGAUCUUAUGGCAUUUUUAAUGGUAACCGAAAUAAUUCAAAGAUCUUUCUCUCAACUAUCUUUACUGCUUGGAACAUACGUAAGAGGAAUCAAUUCAAGUGCCUGUAUUUUUAAAAUAUUUUAUUAUGUUUACUUGCAAGAUUUUACAUAUAUUGUUUAUAAUCGAUUUGAAAUUUCUUUUGUUGUACUUAAAUAUACCACCAUCACCAAUGAUGGUCGGAGGAAAUACAAGAAAAGACUCAGGGAAUAUAGAAUAUAAAAAUUUGAAAUUUAUCCAAGUCGAUCGAAUCACAUUAUUUUGAAAAAUUUUAAUUUGGAUAUCCUUUCUUUAUGAUGUCGACGAGGGUAGCAUAUCUAUUGAUAAAUGGGACAUUAGGUCUCUUCAUUCUAGCUAUUUUAGAAGUAUUGUAUUAACUCAUAUAAAUUAAGAACCUGUACUUUUUGCGACUAGUAUAAUGGGGAAUAUUUGUCAUUGAAAACAAGUUGCGACGGAUGAGAAGAUCAUAAAAGCGGCAAAAGAAGCUAAUGCUCAUGAAUUCAUUACAAAAUUUCCAAGAAGUUAUGAAAUUUAAAAUGACGAGAGAGGCGUAAUAUUAUUUGGUGAAUUAAAGCAAUCAUCGAUUUUAACAUUAGUCAAAACAAUGAUAUGUAAAGAGAUUAAAUAUAAUUAGGCACGUAUCUUAUUCUGUAUUCUAUAUGAAUUUUAUUUUUUUUUUAAAUUUAAUGCAUUGGAUUAUGAAAGCGAAAGAAUGGUUCACAAUGCGUUAGAAAAUGUAACUAGAGAUAGUUAUUGCUCAUAGACUAAGUACUAUUAAACCUGCUUAUGUUAUUAUUGUAUUAAAAUAUGUUAUUGUAGAGAUAGGUUGAAAAAUGA